RNAcentral lists this transfer RNA (75 nucleotides) under Acinetobacter sp. 72431. RNAcentral's name for it is "partial tRNA-Leu". It matches the Rfam family "tRNA", at positions 6 to 65 of the family's 71-position model. Rfam says of the family: Transfer RNA (tRNA) molecules are approximately 80 nucleotides in length. Their secondary structure includes four short double-helical elements and three loops (D, anti-codon, and T loops). Further hydrogen bonds mediate the characteristic L-shaped molecular structure. tRNAs have two regions of fundamental functional importance: the anti-codon, which is responsible for specific mRNA codon recognition, and the 3' end, to which the tRNAs corresponding amino acid is attached (by aminoacyl-tRNA synthetases). tRNAs cope with the degeneracy of the genetic code in two manners: having more than one tRNA (with a specific anti-codon) for a particular amino acid; and 'wobble' base-pairing, i.e. permitting non-standard base-pairing at the 3rd anti-codon position. Lineage: Bacteria; Pseudomonadati; Pseudomonadota; Gammaproteobacteria; Moraxellales; Moraxellaceae. The record is from RNAcentral.
GGGGCGUGGCGAAAUUGGUAGACGCACUGGAUUUAGGUUCCAGCGCCGCAAGGUGUAAGAGUUCGAGUCUCUUCG